UACAGAGGUCCCAAGCGUUGUUCGGAUUCACUGGGCGUAAAGGGUGCGUAGGUGGCCAGGUAAGUUUGAUGUGAAAGCUCGGAGCUUAACUCCGAAAUGGCAUUAAAUACUAUCUGGCUUGAGGGUCGGAGGGGAGACUGGAAUUCUCGGUGUAGCAGUGAAAUGCGUAGAUAUCGAGAGGAACACCAGUGGCGAAGGCGAGUCUCUGGACGACAUCUGACACUGAGGCACGAAAGCUAGGGGAGCAAACAGG
RNAcentral lists this ribosomal RNA (253 nucleotides) under uncultured bacterium. RNAcentral's name for it is "partial 16S ribosomal RNA". It matches the Rfam family "Bacterial small subunit ribosomal RNA", at positions 524 to 776 of the family's 1533-position model. The record is from RNAcentral.